Molecule: long non-coding RNA, 2110 nt
Filed under: Orbicella faveolata
Lineage: Eukaryota; Metazoa; Cnidaria; Anthozoa; Scleractinia; Merulinidae
Description: uncharacterized LOC110063533
Source: RNAcentral
AAAGCAGGCCAAGGCUAGAGAAAGUAGACGAAAUAAUAUCGAACUAUGCCGUGAAGCAGAGCUCUAAGACAGCAGAACCUUCUCAAGUGAUCAACAAGAAAAACAAAAUUCCAACCUCGAUCUCAGGCUCUCUUCAAAGGGAGACAAAGGAGACAGAGCUGGGAGAGCCUGGGAUCGAGGUCGUCAUGUUUCGAACGGGAACGUGUGAGAAACUACAGAGCGGUAAACACAGCGGAAAAAGUGGUUGAUUCGUUGACCUAUCGAAAAGAUUGAUUCAGUUCAGUCUUCACAACUUUUGCUGCAAGUUUCUGCCAGGUGGAUUCACACUGAAGCGAACUGCUAAAUUGCGCGUUUCCAUUAUCGAAAGUACUACACUAUGAAGUUUGCAAGGAAGAAUUCAGUAUUAUCAGUUGCCCAGGUGGAGACAAAUCAGGACGAGACAAGAAGAGGAUGAACAUAUUUACCAUUAUUCAAGAUAUUGAUGAUUUUAUUGCAAUCCAGGACCCAGGACGCUUUUUCAGACACGAAGAGCAGCUAAGGGCUGGGUGGACUGAGAUGAAUUGAUCAUACACCAUGGAUGAUGUCUGGGAGUUACUAGCCUAUAGGUUUUGUAUGUCUACCGUUCAGUAUGUACUAGUGAUAGGUUAGAUAUCUCUUACUUAUAAGAAAUAGGUUUUGCAAUCGCACCGUGUAGUAAACAGUGUUUUAAAGGAGUCAUGACAUGAUAGUAAGAUUACGUACCAAAAAAAUGAAGACUUGAAAACCGUAGGAGAAAAAAAAUACUUUAAGUUUAGAAUCAACAAAGCAGAAAUAAGGAACUCUUAAAGUUUACAAUUAACAAAGCAGGGAAAAGGUUGGUUAGGACUGGGAAAGAUUUCCACCGAUGACAUUUCAUAUCUGUUCUGUCUCUGUCACGCAACGCUACGCUCUCGGCAGAGAGGGAUCUUAUCUCUCUUGAGCGUUACGUGACAGAGAGGUGACCAGAACUGGACUAUUCAACUCUGUAGGGACGCCAUUUCUCGUUUCGCAUGUUUCAGCUGAGGUAGCUCCUGUCAGUGCUAAGACUAUCAUAUUUUUUCGUUAUAAUUGUUCAAAGUACUUAAUUUGUAAAAUUCUUUCGAAAACUCGGACUUUUUUUUCCUAGCAACUUGAAUUAGAAAUGAUGUAAGCUAAGGAAGACAAAAUCGUCUGUUUACAUGAGGGAAGUUUCUUUUUACAUUGGCUACCUAAAAAAACAGGGUUUCAUUUUAGCCUGGUUAAAACUCGCAGGAGAAAAUUAGUGUCGAAUAUAUUUUUCCCGCGGUGCAAGUUCCACUGGCUCUGUGUGAAAGAAAAAGAAUACAAUUUGCAAUUUUCUUUAUCAUACUAUUCCCAAUCGAGUAGGGAAAAAAAUUUCUUCUCUGCCGAUAAAAUUAAUUUGGCUUCUAAGGCGCGGUAAGAAAACGACGAAACUUUUUCUCAACAAACGUAAAUGUUUACGAUCUGGAAAACCCGCGAACUUAAUAGUCAUUCAAAAUGUUUAAUAUUCUAGUAACAAUGCAGAUGGUACUUUUAUCGAAUGCCAUUCUGUAAUCAUUAUAAUUUACAUGUUGCUGUUGUUUAUAUACAGCGCUGCUAGGUUAAUAUCCUUAGAUCUUUCUUACGUAUUUUUUGAGUAAAUCGUCGAAUAGGAGUUUAUAACUUUAUUUAGUGGCAGUGAUGUUGAAAGGACUUUUAAAUUCUCUGAAAGUCUUUUAAUUUCUCGUAAUUUUGUAGUUGUCGAAGGAAAUAAUGGCGGUAUGUAAUUGUGUUAUUUUUGUCAAAGGUUUUGUAAUAUAAUUCUAUCGCGGGUCAUUAGUUGAUAAUCUAGUUCCACAUAUUGUUAAUAUCGUGGUAACUCAAGAAAGUCGAAGCUAUUAGAGGAAAGUAACAAAAGGUUCGUAAAUUAUGGCUUUAUUAUGAUCACUACAUGUUCAGAAUAUGGCGGAGGUAAUAAGACGAAGAGUUACGGACGCUGAUAACGAGUACACUGUUGUUUAUUGUACGCGAAAGAUAUGCACUGUAUGUUAAUCUUUAUUGUUUUUUGUCUGUUGUACUAUUACAAAAUAAAUUCAUUUCAUCAUGUUACAAA